RNAcentral lists this ribosomal RNA (253 nucleotides) under uncultured bacterium. RNAcentral describes it as "partial 16S ribosomal RNA". It matches the Rfam family "Bacterial small subunit ribosomal RNA", at positions 524 to 776 of the family's 1533-position model. The record is from RNAcentral.
UACAGAGGUCCCAAGCGUUGUUCGGAUUCAUUGGGCGUAAAGGGUGCGUAGGCGGCGCGGUAAGUCGGGUGUGAAAUCUCGGAGCUUAACUCCGAAACUGCAUUCGAUACUGCCGUGCUUGAGGACUGGAGAGGAGACUGGAAUUUACGGUGUAGCGGUGAAAUGCGUAGAUAUCGUAAGGAAGACCAGUGGCGAAGGCGGGUCUCUGGACAGUUCCUGACGCUGAGGAGCGAAAGCUAGGGGAGCAAACGGG